UGCUUAGUUGUAACUCGGUUUGUGACUGGUUCCAUUUUGUAAGGAGAUGUGGCUUACCCAGAUCGAUUGAAACUUCCAGAUCUGUUGUGGAUUCUUUUGAUAGAAGUUCUGGAUCUGUUGAUUUACGGAGUGGUUUAAUUUCCAAAGCUUUUGUCUUUGAAUUUCUUGUUAGAUCUGGUUAGUUUUAUUGAUUGUUCAUAUCUCCUAGGCUACUGGUGGGGUACUCUUUGUUUCAGGGUGUGUCUAUUUCGAUGAGUUCGCUGUGGGUUCCGUCUAAGCCGUUUCUCUGCCGUUCGUGGCCUGUGUUCGAUGUUCUCCGGCUUGGGUGGGCUUCGCUCCUAGUUGUUUGAGCAGAUUUCGUGGAGAUCUGUGUCCGUGGUGGUUUCAUAUAUUGGCGUUCAAUAGUCAAAACAAAAAGGCGUACUUUAGUCGUCUUCGACUCAGUCGUAUCCGGGAGUGUGACAGAAUCUAUGAGUGAUUAUUACUGGCCGGUUUGUGAAGCUCGUGUUACUGGUUUCUGAGGUGGAGCCUCGUUGUUCUAGGAGGAAGUGGUUUGUAGGUGGUUUGGCCGAGGACAUUCACAUCAAGCAACUUUCAUAGGUUCUCUUCUCUUUAGGUUUCUCUGUACUCUUGAGAUGGAUACUAGUAGUUUGGAAUCUAGUUGCUUAGUCUAAAGUCUGAUUGUAAUCGUUGUGCCCUGUAUCAUGUAUCGUGUUUGGGCUUCUGCUGCCCCUGUGUGGGUUUAAGGUUCCGGAGACAUCAUGUUGUUCGCCGGCAUAGUUAACCACAGACAUAUCUUCGUCCGUUGGUCUUGUGUGGAUCUAUUUUAUCUAUAACAAAAUCAGUUAGAAAAAAAAUAGAAAUCA
Molecule: long non-coding RNA, 866 nt
Filed under: Brassica napus (rape)
Lineage: Eukaryota; Viridiplantae; Streptophyta; Magnoliopsida; Brassicales; Brassicaceae
Description: long non-coding RNA (BNAP_LNC014918)
Source: RNAcentral